CUUUGGUGCCCGAGUUGUAAUUUGAAGAUAGUUUUCUGGUGCUGGCCCUUGUCUAUGUUCCUUGGAACAGGACGUCACAGAGGGUGAGAAUCCCGUCUGGCGGGGUGUCCAGUGCUUUGUAGAUUUCUAUCGACGAGUCGAGUUGUUUGGGAAUGCAGCUCUAAGUGGGUGGUAAAUUCCAUCUAAAGCUAAAUAUUGGCGAGAGACCGAUAGCGAACAAGUACAGUGAUGGAAAGAUGAAAAGAACUUUGAAAAGAGAGUGAAAAAGUACGUGAAAUUGUUGAAAGGGAAGGGUAUUAGAUCAGACUUGGUGUUUUGUGAUUAUCUUCCCUUCUUGGGUUGUGCACUCGCAUUUCACUGGGCCAGCAUCGGUUCGGGUGGUAAGAUAAUGACAUUGGAACGUGGCACUACCUUCGGGUGGUGUGUUAUAGCC
RNAcentral lists this ribosomal RNA (433 nucleotides) under Williopsis saturnus. RNAcentral's name for it is "eukaryotic LSU rRNA". It matches the Rfam family "Eukaryotic large subunit ribosomal RNA", at positions 129 to 560 of the family's 3401-position model. Lineage: Eukaryota; Fungi; Ascomycota; Saccharomycetes; Phaffomycetales; Wickerhamomycetaceae. The record is from RNAcentral.